UGUCCAUAAAACUGAAAGUCUUGUCACUUUCUGACACGACAAGAGUCCAAUCGAGCCGCGAGUUCAUUCGUCAAAACUUCAUUAACCGACGGCAGCUUUUAAAUUUGUGCGGAGAGCAGAACACAAAACUUACGGGAGCAGCUCCGGUGGAAAAUUGACGGGAUUUAAAAAUGUCAGAUGACACGCAGCUCAAUUCUCAGUCACUGUUGCUCUGUCGUCUUCCCACUGUACCUGUGGUUUGGUUUCCUCUUCAUCUUUGUAGAAGUAGAGCUGGUCAGUUCGAAGCACAAACCAGCGCAGCUGCCAGUUCUUCAUGAUGCUGCGCUGUUUCUUAAGCCAGCCUGCUUUCAGCGCCCUGUCUUGGAGGCUGGGGGACGAUGGCCGGCUGGAGCCACGGGAGAGCUCCCCCAUGACCAUGCUCUUAGACCUGGCUGAAAAAUAGAAAAGUGAGGACUGUUCCCAACCGUUGUCUUUUAGAAGGCCCUUUGUGGUUGUACCGCCUAAAGUAUGUGGUGGUUCCCAUGGAAAUGGCAUGAAGCUGCUCAACUAGCAACCAUCCCACCCAGGUCAGAGAGAAG
This is a long non-coding RNA of Onychostoma macrolepis, 578 nucleotides long. RefSeq lists it as uncharacterized. The transcript is spliced from 3 exons. The record is from RefSeq and is a predicted model, not a curated record. NCBI's taxonomy places the organism in Eukaryota, Metazoa, Chordata, Actinopteri, Cypriniformes, Cyprinidae.